GUUGGAAUUCACUCUCAGCAACAUCAUAUGGUUGUAUCGACCUCGACUUUUUCGAGGAUUAAUCAAGUUCCAACACCGAUCAACGAAGUCCUUUUUUGCGAGCAUCAAUGAGGACAAGGACAGGGUUUGGAUGAGCCUGUUCGUAAAGAUAAGGACUUGUGACCUCAUUCAAGAGGAGAAACUGCCAUUUCCAAGAAGUGGAACCCCGACCGUAAGUAAAGUAUUACC
Molecule: long non-coding RNA, 228 nt
Filed under: Nicotiana benthamiana
Lineage: Eukaryota; Viridiplantae; Streptophyta; Magnoliopsida; Solanales; Solanaceae
Description: long non-coding RNA (NBEN_LNC008953)
Source: RNAcentral